UAGAUAUCUGAUUUAUUGGCAUAGAACAAGUCUGAUAUACAAUAUUGUACGGAAACUAGUGGUAUAGAUCUAGUGAUAUAGAUCAGCAGGACAAUGGGACUGGGACUUUCUGAAGGCACUGUACAAAGUAAGGGUAUUUAAAUUGUUGAAGUAUUGACGCAUAGUGACUCGAAGGAGUUCCGUUUCUGCAUUCAACUCUGUGGAUGAAGUCAUGGUGGAGUUGAGGUACAUGGCAAGGGAUGGGACAGGGACUGACUAAGGCUGGGGAUGGGACAGGGACUGACUAAGGCUGGGGAUGGGACAGGGACUGACUAAGGCUGGGGAUGGGACUGACUAAGGCUGGGGAUGGGACAGGGACUGACUAAGGCUGGGGAUGGGACAGGGUCUGACUAAGGCUGGGGAUGGGACAGGGUCUGACUAAGGCUGGGGAUGGGACAGGGUCUGACUAAGGCUGGGGAUGGGACAGGGACUGACUAAGGCUGGGGAUGGGACAGGGACUGACUAAGGCUGGGGAUGGGACAGGGACUGACUAAGGCUGGGGAUGGGACUGACUAAGGCGGGGGAUGUGACAGGGACUGACUAAGGCUGGGGAUGGGACAGGGACUGACUAAGGCUGGGGAUGGGACAGGGACUGACUAAGGCUGGGGAUGGGACAGGGACUGACUAAGGCUGGGGAUGGGACAGGGACUGACUAAGGCUGGGGAUGGGACUGACUAAGGCUGGGGAUGGGACAGGGAAUGACUAAGGCUGGGGAUGGGACAGGGACUGACUAAGGCUGGGGAUGGGACAGGGACUGACUAAGGCUGGGGAUGGGACUGACUAAGGCUGGGGAUGGGACAGGGAAUGACUAAGGCUGGGGAUGGGACAGGGACUGACUAAGGCUGGGGAUGGGACUGACUAAGGCUGGGAGGGAGGGAAGGCUGGAUGGAUGGGAGGGAGGGAAGGCUGGAUGGAUGGGAGGGAGGGAAGGAAGGCUGGAUGGAUGGGAGGGAGGGAAGGUUGGAUGGAGAAUAAAGUAGAAUACUCUAUUACAGACAUGACAAUCAACCGCUUACAAUGGUGGAAAACCAUGUAACAAAAACAUUCAAAACUUUCAUGACUUACAAUACUUUACAAGGAACCAAUGUGCUACAGCUCUAACAAUAGAAUCACCCUGGGACUGAAGGGAUUGUCUUAAGACCAAUGUGCUACAGUUCUAACAAUAGAAUCACCCCGGGACUGAAGGGAUUGUCUUAAGACCAAUGUGCUACAGUUCUAACAAUAGAAUCACCCUGGGACUGAAGGGAUUGUCUUAAGACCAAUGUGCUACAGUUCUAACAAUAGAAUCACCCUGGGACUGAAGGGAUUGUCUUAAGACCAAUGUGCUACAGUUCUAACAAUAGAAUCACCCCGGGACUGAAGGGAUUGUCUUAAGACCAAUGUGCUACAGUUCUAACAAUAGAAUCACCCUGGGACUGAAGGGAUUGUCU
Molecule: long non-coding RNA, 1469 nt
Organism: Oncorhynchus tshawytscha (Chinook salmon)
Lineage: Eukaryota; Metazoa; Chordata; Actinopteri; Salmoniformes; Salmonidae
Source: Ensembl